GAGGGUAUAGCUCAAGUGGUAGAAUGCAUGCUUAGCAUGCAGUAGGUGCUGGGUUCAAUCCCCAGUACCUCCA
RNAcentral lists this transfer RNA (73 nucleotides) under Camelus bactrianus (Bactrian camel). It matches the Rfam family "tRNA". Rfam says of the family: Transfer RNA (tRNA) molecules are approximately 80 nucleotides in length. Their secondary structure includes four short double-helical elements and three loops (D, anti-codon, and T loops). The record is from Rfam by way of RNAcentral. RNAcentral also lists the same sequence under 3 other names. Lineage: Eukaryota; Metazoa; Chordata; Mammalia; Artiodactyla; Camelidae.